AAAUGAAUAGACGGGACCCCGCACAAGUAGCGGAGCAUGUGGUUUAAUUCGAAGCAACGCGAAGAACCUUACCAGGUCUUGACAUCCUCUGACAGCGUUAGAGAUAGCGAAUUCCUUUCGGGGACAGAGAGACAGGUGGUGCAUGGUUGUCGUCAGCUCGUGUCGUGAGAUGUUGGGUUAAGUCCCGCAACGAGCGCAACCCUUGUGUUUAGUUGCCAGCAUGAAAGAUGGGCACUCUAGACAGACCGCCGUAGAUAAUACGGAGGAAGGUGGGGAUGACGUCAAAUCAUCAUGCCCCUUAUGACCUGGGCUACACACGUGCUACAAUGGGAUGAACAGAGGGUAGCGAAGUAGUGAUACGGAGCCAAUCUCAAAAAACAUCUCCCAGUUCGGAUUGCAGGCUGCAACUCGCCUGCAUGAAGUAGGAGUUACUAGUAAUCGCAAAUCAGAAUGUUGCGGUGAAUGCGUUCCCGGGGUUUGUACACACCGCCCGU
Molecule: ribosomal RNA, 494 nt
Filed under: uncultured bacterium
Lineage: Bacteria
Description: bacterial SSU rRNA
Rfam family: Bacterial small subunit ribosomal RNA
Source: RNAcentral